GUGUCAGCAGCCGCGGUAAUACGUAGGGAGCGAGCGUUGUUCGGAUUUACUGGGCGUAAAGAGCACGUAGGCGGGUGUGCAAGUCGGUUGUGAAAUCCUCUGGCUCAACCAGAGAACUGCAAUCGAAACUGUGCACCUUGAGUCUAUCAGAGGAAACCGGAAUCAAGGGUGUAGCGGUGAAAUGCGUAGAUAUCCUUGAGAACAUCAGUGGCGAAGGCGGGUUUCUGGGAUAGUACUGACGCUGAGGUGCGAAAGCUAGGGGAGCGAACAGGAUUAGAUACCCUGGUAGUCCUAGCCGUAAACGAUGGGUACUAGGUGUUGGGGGACAUUGACCCCCUCAGUGCCGCAGCUAACGCAUUAAGUACCCCGCCUGGGGAGUACGGCCGCAAGGCUGAAACUUAAAUGAAUUGACGGGG
This 416-nucleotide ribosomal RNA is filed under the name uncultured prokaryote. RNAcentral describes it as "bacterial SSU rRNA". It matches the Rfam family "Bacterial small subunit ribosomal RNA", at positions 505 to 918 of the family's 1533-position model. The record is from RNAcentral.